UGUCAGCAGCCGCGGUAAUACGGAGGAUCCAAGCGUUAUCCGGAAUCAUUGGGUUUAAAGGGUCCGUAGGCGGUCAGGUAAGUCAGUGGUGAAAGCCCAUCGCUCAACGGUGGAACGGCCAUUGAUACUGUCUGACUUGAAUUAUUAGGAAGUAACUAGAAUAUGUAGUGUAGCGGUGAAAUGCUUAGAGAUUACAUGGAAUACCAAUUGCGAAGGCAGGUUACUACUAAUGGAUUGACGCUGAUGGACGAAAGCGUGGGUAGCGAACAGGAUUAGAUACCCUGGUAGUCCACGCCGUAAACGAUGGAUACUAGCUGUUGGGAGCGAUUUCAGUGGCUAAGCGAAAGUGAUAAGUAUCCCACCUGGGGAGUACGUUCGCAAGAAUGAAACUCAAAGGAAUUGACGG
RNAcentral lists this ribosomal RNA (406 nucleotides) under uncultured Flavobacterium sp. RNAcentral describes it as "bacterial SSU rRNA". It matches the Rfam family "Bacterial small subunit ribosomal RNA", at positions 506 to 916 of the family's 1533-position model. The record is from RNAcentral. Lineage: Bacteria; Pseudomonadati; Bacteroidota; Flavobacteriia; Flavobacteriales; Flavobacteriaceae.